RNAcentral lists this ribosomal RNA (266 nucleotides) under uncultured bacterium. RNAcentral's name for it is "partial 16S ribosomal RNA". It matches the Rfam family "Bacterial small subunit ribosomal RNA", at positions 27 to 293 of the family's 1533-position model. The record is from RNAcentral.
GGACGAACGCUGGCGGCGUGCUUAACACAUGCAAGUCGAGCGGUAAGGCCCUUUCGGGGGUACGACGAGCGGCGAACGGGUGAGUAACACGUGGGUGACCUGCCCUCAGCUCUGGGAUAAGCCUGGGAAACCGGGUCUAAUACUGGAUAUGACUCCAUGACGCAUGUUGUGGGGUGGAAAGCCUUGUGCGGCUGAGGAUGGGCCCGCGGCCUAUCAGCUUGUUGGUGGGGUGANGGCCUACCAAGGCGACGACGGGUAGCCGGCCU